This is a long non-coding RNA of Esox lucius (northern pike), 754 nucleotides long. RefSeq lists it as uncharacterized. The transcript has 3 exons. Lineage: Eukaryota; Metazoa; Chordata; Actinopteri; Esociformes; Esocidae. The record is from RefSeq and is a predicted model, not a curated record.
AGCUGAUAAUUUCUGACAUGCUUAUUAUUAAAAAAAAAAAAUAUUUUUUGUUACAUGUGUCGUUACCAAGCAGAAUCUGUGCUUCUAACCACCACACCUUCAAAGAAAAAGAAAGGAGCUGCAAGAAAUGAAACAGAGACCACCGCUGAUGAAACAGAGACCAACGAAGAGGAAAACCUUCUGAUCCUACAUAGCCUGGCUGCAGCUGACUGGUGCAAUCAGGCAACAUUCAGUGGAAGACUGAAACUCCCUGAGAAGAAAGAAAAGAGGCCAUCCAGGAGAUGGACACCUGGGAUAGGGAACUGGAUCAGGAUUCUCCAGCAGAACUCUUUACAUUUGUUUUUGAAAAAAAAAAAAGACUUCGACAACUUCUAUGAACAAUGUGUGGAUACAAAUUUUUUUAGACUGUUUACAAGAUUUGAAAAACAGUGAUUGUUUAAAUAUUUUUGGUGUGUUAAAUUAAAGAGUUUGUUCCUAAAUACAGCCUAGUAAUUCAUAUCAAGACCUUUGCACAUGGUUUUACAUUAGAGUCCUGUGAUGCACAGAUAUGUAUAAAUAUCACCUAGUAUAGUAAGCUAUAAAUGUUGAGGGUGUUUAGUGAAUAAUUUUGGAUAGGUCAACUGUUAUAAAAUCUUGUUUAAUUUACAAUCAGAAAGGGACAGCUGCCACAGGGGGCCAGUGGCAAUUGCCACAAACAUUGGCAGGUGCUUUGCCAAGUGUAAGCCUAUAGCCAAAAUAUUAUUCCAGUAAUGUA